This 274-nucleotide ribosomal RNA is filed under the name uncultured bacterium. RNAcentral's name for it is "partial 16S ribosomal RNA". It matches the Rfam family "Bacterial small subunit ribosomal RNA", at positions 523 to 796 of the family's 1533-position model. The record is from RNAcentral.
AUACGGAGGGGACUAGCGUUGUUCGGAAUUACUGGGCGUAAAGCGUACGUAGGCGGAUCGGAAAGUAUAGGGCGAAAUCCCAGGGCUUAACCCUGGAACUGCCUUAUAAACUCCCGGUCUUGAGUUCGAGAGAGGUGAGUGGAAUUCCGAGUGUAGAGGUGAAAUUCGUAGAUAUUCGGAGGAACACCAGUGGCGAAGGCGGCUCACUGGCUCGAUACUGACGCUGAGGUACGAAAGUGUGGGGAGCAAACAGGAUUAGAUACCCUAGUAGUCC